RNAcentral lists this ribosomal RNA (465 nucleotides) under Lophodermium kumaunicum. RNAcentral's name for it is "partial 18S ribosomal RNA". The stretch from base 225 to 435 matches the Rfam family "Group I catalytic intron". Lineage: Eukaryota; Fungi; Ascomycota; Leotiomycetes; Rhytismatales; Rhytismataceae. The record is from RNAcentral.
UUUGCACCCCCUACGGGGAGCGCCCACGACAGUAAAUAAUGGGCUGCGCUUGCAAGUCUAGGGAGGUCCUCCCGGGCGACACAACUAAAUUAUCGGGAAUGUCCAGGCUCUCUGGAUAAUCCGUAGCACUUUCUCGCAGUGUUCACAGGUCAAAUGGUUGUGGGUUCAGCUUGCUGGGCUUAAGAUAUGAUCGGGCUUUACGAGAGAUUGUAGAGAUCACACCGUUCCGUAGGUCAAGUUUUGCCUGCCACAGUGGCCUCUCCAGGCUGCUAGUCUCCCCCCGGAGGCGACACGCUCAAAGUGCGGGAAGUCCCUAGCCGGGAAAUCCGCAGCCAACGCGCUCCUUACCCGGAGAUUUGGUUCAGAGACUCAAUGAGUGUGGAUUUGGCGGUAGCCAGAUUUUAGAUAGAGCCCACCCCUGCUGGCAACUCCAGGGAAUCAGUGGAACCUGCGGAAGGAUCAUUA